UUGCUUUUGCAGCUUGUAUUCUAAAAUUGGAAUGACACAGAGAUGAUUAGCCUGGCUGCAGUGCAAGGAUGGCCAGCAGGUUCAUGAAACAUUCCAUACCUCG
Cercocebus atys (sooty mangabey) is the source of this 103-nucleotide small nuclear RNA. NCBI's taxonomy places the organism in Eukaryota, Metazoa, Chordata, Mammalia, Primates, Cercopithecidae. The record is from Ensembl.